AGAGCGAACGCUGGCGGCGUGCUUAACACAUGCAAGUCGAACGAGGUCUGUAGCAAUACAGAUACUCGUGGCGAACGGGUGCGUAACACGUGGAUAACCUUCCUUCAGGUGGGGAAUAACCCAGUGAAAAUUGGGCUAAUACCGCAUAACAUGACGAUGCCACAUGGUGUUGUCUUCAAAGGCGCAAGUCGCCAGAAGAGGGAUCCGCGGCCGAUUAGCUAGUUGGCGAGGUAAUGGCUCACCAAGGCAAUGAUCGGUAAC
RNAcentral lists this ribosomal RNA (261 nucleotides) under uncultured bacterium. Its description in RNAcentral is "partial small subunit ribosomal RNA". It matches the Rfam family "Bacterial small subunit ribosomal RNA", at positions 26 to 287 of the family's 1533-position model. The record is from RNAcentral.